UACAGAGGUCUCGAGCGUUGUUCGGAUUCAUUGGGCGUAAAGGGUGCGUAGGUGGCGCUGUAAGUCGGGUGUGAAAUCCUGAGGCUUAACCUCGGAACUGCAUUCGAUACUGCGGCGCUUGAGGACUGGAGAGGAGACUGGAAUUCAUGGUGUAGCAGUGAAAUGCGUAGAGAUCAUGAGGAAGACCAGUGGCGAAGGCGGGUCUCUGGACAGUGACUGACGCUGAGACGCGAAAGCGUGGGGAGCAAACAGG
Molecule: ribosomal RNA, 253 nt
Filed under: uncultured bacterium
Lineage: Bacteria
Description: partial 16S ribosomal RNA
Rfam family: Bacterial small subunit ribosomal RNA
Source: RNAcentral